Clostridiales bacterium KA00134 is the source of this 70-nucleotide regulatory RNA element. The record is from Rfam. Lineage: Bacteria; Bacillati; Bacillota; Clostridia; Eubacteriales.
ACCUUAAUGUAACCGCACAUAUCAGGUUUUAAAGCGAGAGCUGCCUGUUUUGGCGAGUCUUGUAAUGAGG